This 373-nucleotide ribosomal RNA is filed under the name uncultured eukaryote. RNAcentral describes it as "partial 18S ribosomal RNA". It matches the Rfam family "Eukaryotic small subunit ribosomal RNA", at positions 592 to 976 of the family's 1831-position model. The record is from RNAcentral.
CAAUAGCGUAUAUUAAAGUUGUUGCAGUUAAAAAGCUCGUAGUUGGAUUUCUGGGAGGGUGCCAAUGUCCGCCGUCGUGCGUGCGCAGCGGCGCCCUUCCAUCCUUCUGUUAACGCCUCUUGGCAUUCAUUUGCUGGUGGCGGGCUCAGAUAUUUUACCUUGAGAAAAUUAGAGUGUUUCAGGCAGGCUAGGCCGGAAUACAUUAGCAUGGAAUAAUGGAAUAGGACUACGGUCUCGUUGUUGGUUUGAGGGACUGCAGUAAUGAUUAAUAGGGAUAGUUGGGGGCAUUAGUAUUUAAUUGUCAGAGGUGGAAUUCUCGGAUUUGUUAAAGACUAACUUAUGCGAAAGCAUUUGCCAAGGAUGUUUUCAUUGA